Molecule: ribosomal RNA, 1326 nt
Filed under: metagenome
Description: bacterial LSU rRNA
Rfam family: Bacterial large subunit ribosomal RNA
Source: RNAcentral
AGUGGAUGGGGAGCAACCUAGUUGUGCGUGUGUAAAGGUAGUGCCAAGAAAAGCGGUGAUCAUGAUGAAAAUCAAUUCCCGGUACCCGAAACCGACACAGGUGGGCAAGUAGAGAAUACUAAGGGGCGCGAGGUAACUCUCUCCAAGGAACUCGGCAAAAUGACCCCGUAACUUAGGGAGAAGGGGUGCCACCGAGAGGUGGUCGCAGUGAAGAGGCCCAGGCGACUGUUUAGCAAAAACAUAGGUCUCUGCAAACUCGAAAGAGGAGGUAUAGGGGCUGACGCCUGCCCAGUGCCGGAAGGUUAAAGAAGUUGGUCAGUCUUAGGAUAAAGCUAGCGACUGAAGCCCCGGUGAACGGCGGCCGUACUAUAACGGUCCUAAGGUAGCGAAAUUCCUUGUCGGGUAAGUUCCGACCCGCACGAAAGGCGUAACGAUCUGGGCGCUGUCUCGGAGAGAGGCUCGGCGAAAUAGGAUUGUCUGUGAAGAUACGGACUACCUGCAUUUGGACAGAAAGACCCUAUGAAGCUUUACUAUAGCUUGGAAUUGUGUUCGGGCUUCCUGUGCGCAGGAUAGGUGGGAGGCGAAGAAGGUAUUCUUGUGGGGAUACUGGAGCCAACGGUGAGAUACCACUCUCAGGAGGCUAGAAUUCUAACUUAAUUAAGGACAAUUUCAGGUGGGUAGUUUGACUGGGGCGGUCGCCUCCAAAAAGGUAACGGAGGCGUACAAAGGUUCCCUCAGACUGGUUGGAAAUCAGUCGCAGAGUGCAAAGGCAGAAGGGAGCUUGACUGCGAGAAGUACAGUUCGAGCAGGGUGGAAACACGGUCUUAGUGAUCCGACGGUGCUGUGUGGAAGGGCCGUCGCUCAACGGAUAAAAGUUACUCUAAGGAUAACAGGCUGAUCUCCCCCAAGAGUUCACAUCGACGGGGAGGUUUGGCACCUCGAUGUCGGCUCAUCGCAACCUGGGGCGGAAGUACGUCCCAAGGGUUGGGCUGUUCGCCCAUUAAAGCGGUACGUGAGCUGGGUUCAGAACGUCGUGAGACAGUUCGGUCCAUAUCCGAUGUAGGCGUGAGAAUAUUGAGAGGAGCCUUCCUUAGUACGAGAGGACCGGGAAGGACGCACCGCUGGUGUACCUGUUAUGAUGCCAAUUGUAAACGCAGGGUAGCCAAGUGCGGAGAGGAUAACCGCUGAAAGCAUCUAAGUGGGAAGCCCACCUCAAGAUGAGUAUUCUGGUGUAAGGUCACGGGAAGACGACCCGUAAAUAGGCACGAGGUGGAAGUGCAGAGAUGUAUGAAGCCGAAGUGUACUAAUAGACCGUCGGCUUGACCA